Molecule: ribosomal RNA, 591 nt
Filed under: uncultured bacterium
Lineage: Bacteria
Description: bacterial SSU rRNA
Rfam family: Bacterial small subunit ribosomal RNA
Source: RNAcentral
UGACUGUACCCUAAGAAUAAGGUCCGGCUAACUUCGUGCCAGCAGCCGCGGUAAUACGAAGGGACCUAGCGUAGUUCGGAAUUACUGGGCGUAAAGCGCGCGUAGGCCGUUGAGUUAGUUAAUUGUGAAAUCCCAAAGCUUAACUUUGGAACUGCAAUUAAAACUGCUCGACUAGAGUUUGAUAGAGGAAAGCGGAAUACAUAGUGUAGAGGUGAAAUUCGUAGAUAUUAUGUAGAACACCAGUUGCGAAGGCGGCUUUCUGGAUCAGCACUGACGCUGAGGCGCGAAAGUAUGGGUAGCAAAGAGGAUUAGAUACCCUCGUAGUCCAUACCAUAAACGAUGAUUGCUAGAUGUUGGAAAUUUAUUUUCAGUAUCGCAGCUAACGCAUUAAGCAAUCCGCCUGGGGAGUACGACCGCAAGGUUAAAACUCAAAUGAAUUGACGGGGACCCGCACAAGCGGUGGAGCAUGUGGUUUAAUUCGAAGAUACGCGCAGAACCUUACCAACCCUUGACAUGUCUGUCGCGAGUUUAGGAAACUAGACUUUUCGGUUCGGCCGGACAGAACACAGGUGCUGCAUGGCUGUCGUCAGC